This 253-nucleotide ribosomal RNA is filed under the name uncultured bacterium. Its description in RNAcentral is "partial 16S ribosomal RNA". It matches the Rfam family "Bacterial small subunit ribosomal RNA", at positions 524 to 776 of the family's 1533-position model. The record is from RNAcentral.
UACGUAGGGGGCAAGCGUUGUCCGGAAUUAUUGGGCGUAAAGGGCGUGCAGGCGGUUUCUUAAGUCUGAUGUGAAAUCUUGUAGCUUAACUACAAGCGGUCAUUGGAAACUGGGAGACUUGAGUGCAGAAGAGGAGAGUGGAAUUCCACGUGUAGCGGUGAAAUGCGUAGAUAUGUGGAGGAACACCAGUGGCGAAGGCGACUCUCUGGUCUGUAACUGACGCUGAGGCGCGAAAGCGUGGGGAGCGAACAGG